RNAcentral lists this ribosomal RNA (236 nucleotides) under uncultured bacterium. RNAcentral describes it as "partial 16S ribosomal RNA". It matches the Rfam family "Bacterial small subunit ribosomal RNA", at positions 98 to 334 of the family's 1533-position model. The record is from RNAcentral.
CCGCACGGGUGAGUAACGCGUAUCCAACCUGCCGUCUACUCUUGGACAGCCUUCCGAAAGGAAGAUUAAUACAAGAUGGCAUCAUGAGUCCGCAUGUUCACAUGAUUAAAGGUAUUCCGGUAGACGAUGGGGAUGCGUUCCAUUAGAUAGUAGGCGGGGUAACGGCCCACCUAGUCUUCGAUGGAUAGGGGUUCUGAGAGGAAGGUCCCCCACAUUGGAACUGAGACACGGUCCAA